GAGGGUGCCUGGCAGAGCAGCCCCAGGGUGGCUCUCUCAAAGCAAUACAGUUCUCCUGCUGGGGAACAGCAAGACAGGGGAGAGGGUUGGGUGGGGACCUGGGGUUCCCCAUGUACAGCUGUGUAUAUUCAGGGGUGUUCUCUGUCUGGUACCCGCUGUGGGCAUCUAUGUGUGUGUGAACCCCUUCCCCAUGCCCUGCAUGACCUGUGAUGCUGCAGACACCACCAUCCUGUGUGCAGGCGUGCUGGGGGGCACGGAGGGGCAUGUCCCUGUCCUGUUGCACCCCCCACCCUGUGACCCAUGUACUCGGUUGUAGGAAGUAAAGAGAACUGAGCACAAUUCACUGGAUUCUAGUUGAAUCUUUCUCUAAGCAAUUUCCUCAUUCCUGCCCUUCCUUCUCCCUAUCCUGGAUCCACCUGUGGUGCUAGUGUUGGGGUCAGGGGUGUUUAAUGCUGGUGGGCAGCAAUAAAGCCAGAUACCUGCAUCCCCAGGGUGCUGAGGGCAGCAGAAAAAAAAUGGGGACCUUGGUGCAUUUGCCCUGCCCCUCCCCCACCUGGGCUAAAGCACAAUGCUAUCCCUGAAGACUGAUGCACCCCACAUCCUCCAGGCCCCCACGCUUGUCCUCCCCAAACCUGCUUUGAGCCCUCCCACCACACCCCGGUUUUCUAUGCUGUUUUGGUGCAAGUACAACUGUCGUAGUCAUGGCUUUGGGAUGGGUUCUGUUUAUUAAAAUCCUAUUGCUCCU
Molecule: long non-coding RNA, 745 nt
Filed under: Mus musculus (house mouse)
Lineage: Eukaryota; Metazoa; Chordata; Mammalia; Rodentia; Muridae
Description: long non-coding RNA chr10:128395224-128395969
Source: RNAcentral